This 1401-nucleotide long non-coding RNA is filed under the name Equus asinus (donkey). RNAcentral's name for it is "lncRNA (ENSEASG00005034941.1)". Lineage: Eukaryota; Metazoa; Chordata; Mammalia; Perissodactyla; Equidae. The record is from RNAcentral.
CUCUCUCCUAUUGUCAAUAUCACCGGGCGGCUGAGUCCAUGGCACACGCGCAACCGAACCUUCUGGCCAGCAGCGCCCGCCCCCGGCGCCCACUCACUGGCGGCUUCAAACGGGAAGCGAGGCCUCAUUGGCCGGUGCCCGCCUUCACUCCCAUGCCAGCAUGUUCGGCUGAGAGCCGAUCAGGGAUUGGCGGCGGGGGGGCGGAGAAACAGGAGGGUGGGAAGAGAGGAGGCCGAGGAUUGGGCUGAGGCGAGAGGGACCCGGAUGCAGCCGCGCUCUCUGGCCGCGAUACUGCCGCUUCCGCCGGGCGCCUAGGUGGGCUAGAGAGGAGAGCCGCCGGAGCCGGCAGGCCUGAGAGGAGCUCUUGAAAUCCGAAAUGUGUGCCACUGGCAGAUCGUUGGGCUGGGUUCCCGCGCAGUGCGGAUUCUCUGGGCGUCGGUCGUCUUCAGCUAGAGGAUUGCAAGGGCAAGGGUCGGCUAGGGGUGGGGGCGCCCCCUGGGCCCUGAUGCCGCUCCGUUCGGCUGCUAGGGCGGCCCUUCUGGACCGGAGGAGUCGAGCUCAGGUCCGGAACCAGCGCCCCCGCCCGCACCCGGGCGCCACUGCGUGUGCAGACGGGCUCUGCAGCCCGCUGUGCAAGCCCAGCAGCCGCUCUCCGCUCAACCUCGUGGAGGCCUGGCACCGAAAUCUGAACCCUUGGGGCCCGGCCAAGGGCUGGGUGUCGCUUCGAAUUCUCUGUCACCUCGUCUCCGUUUCCCUCAACCUCUGUUUUGAGUAUCAGCUCCCUGAAGCUCCUGCAAGCCUUGGCUGAGGCCAGCUCAGUGUGGCUAAUGCGGGUGGGAACGCUGUCUGCGCUGCUCAAUCAGCUAUUGAGAUCAACCGCAUCCGCUCUCCUCUCCACGGAGCUCAGGGAGGCCCAACUCCGAACUGCGAGCUUGGCAGCUUUUAAUUUGCAAGUUGGAUACGAAAGAGUUUAUGGAAAAGACCUCACUUAACUGUAGCUAGAAUUGAUCAAAUAUUUAGAGGUGUGUUUGCGUCCUUGGUGAGCACUAGUCCAAAUGGUGCAUUUCCAGAGAAUAUUCCUGGACUGUUGCUCUGUUUGAAAGCACGCUACUUGGCCUAGAACAGUGGUGGUCCUUUUGAAGGGGGAAAAAAAGGAGGAAAGAAAUUCUUAAUGCUAACUACAAAAGUCAAGAAUACCAAUUGUUCAAAACUUGGAAAAUGAAACAAAAAAGACAAAAAAUUAACAUUCAUAAUCCCUUAACUCAAAGAGAGUCACUGUUAGUAUUUUGGUGCACUUCCCUCUAACGUUUUGUUUUUUAAUAUUAUGUAUGUCAUUCUGUGGCCUAGUUUUUGCCAUCAGCAUUAUAUCAUGUUUUCUAUACAGUUAGGAAAUAGAACUAU